AAGUGGGUGAUCCUAUGCUGCCUAGAAAAUCUUCGUGAGCGAGUUGUUAGCCGCCCGUACCCUAAACCGACACAGGUGGAUAGGUAGAGAAUACCAAGGCGAUCGAGAGAAUCGUGGUGAAGGAACUCGGCAAAAUACCCCCGUAACUUCGGGAUAAGGGGGACCUGAUGUGUCACGGCACUAGCUGUCGGAAGCACUGAGGGUCGCAGAGACCAGGCCCAAGCGACUGUUUACUAAAAACACAGGUCCGUGCCAAGUUGAAAGACGAUGUAUACGGACUGACUCCUGCCCGGUGCUGGAAGGUUAAGGGGAAGUGUUAGAGCAAUCGAAGCACCGAACUUAAGCCCCAGUAAACGGCGGUGGUAACUAUAACCAUCCUAAGGUAGCGAAAUUCCUUGUCGGGUAAGUUCCGACCUGCACGAAUGGAGUAACGAUUUGGGCGCUGUCUCCACCACGAACUCGGCGAAAUUGCACUACGAGUAAAGAUGCUCGUUACGCGCAGCAGGACGGAAAGACCCCGGGACCUUUACUAUAGUUUGGUAUUGGUGAUCGGUACAGCUUGUGUAGGAUAGGUGGGAGACUUUGAAGCAGGGACGCCAGUUCUUGUGGAGUCAACGUUGAAAUACCACUCUGGCUGUUCUGGUUAUCUAACCUAGGUCCAUUAUCUGGAUCAGGGACAGUGCCUGAUGGGUAGUUUGACUGGGGCGGUCGCCUCCCAAAAAGUAACGGAGGCGCCCAAAGGUUCCCUCAGCCUGGUUGGCAAUCAGGUGUUGAGUGUAAGUGCACAAGGGAGCUUGACUGUGAGAGGGACACCUCAAGCAGGGACGAAAGUCGGGACUAGUGAUCUGACGGUGGCACGUGGAAGCGCCGUCACUCAACGGAUAAAAGGUACCCCGGGGAUAACAGGCUGAUCUUGCCCGAGCGUCCAUAGCGACGGCAUGGUUUGGCACCUCGAUGUCGGCUCGUCGCAUCCUGGGGCUGGAGUCGGUCCCAAGGGUUGGGCUGUUCGCCCAUUAAAGCGGCACGCGAGCUGGGUUCAGAACGUCGUGAGACAGUUCGGUCCCUAUCCGCUGCGCGCGUAGGAAUCUUGAGAGAGGCUGUCCUUAGUACGAGAGGACCGGGACGGACAAACCUCUGGUGUGCCAGUUGUUCUGCCAAGAGCACGGCUGGUUGGCUACGUUUGGAAGUGAUAACCGCUGAAAGCAUCUAAGCGGGAAGCACGUCUCAAGAUGAGGGUUCCCACAGAGUUAAUCUGGUAAGGCCCCCGGAAGACCACCGGGUUGAUAGGUCGGAUGUGGAAGUGCAGCAAUGCAUGGAGCUGACCGAUACUAAUAGGCCGAGGGCUUGUUUCC
Molecule: ribosomal RNA, 1352 nt
Filed under: bioreactor sludge metagenome
Description: bacterial LSU rRNA
Rfam family: Bacterial large subunit ribosomal RNA
Source: RNAcentral